RNAcentral lists this ribosomal RNA (119 nucleotides) under Pteropus alecto (black flying fox). The record is from RNAcentral. Lineage: Eukaryota; Metazoa; Chordata; Mammalia; Chiroptera; Pteropodidae.
GUCUACAGCCAUGCUACCCUGAACAAGUCCGAUCCUGUCUGAUCUCGGAAGCUAAGCAGGGUCAGGCUUGGUUAGUACUUGGAUGGGAGACCACCUAGGAAGACCAGGUGCUGUAGGUG